Molecule: microRNA precursor, 60 nt
Filed under: Blattella germanica (German cockroach)
Lineage: Eukaryota; Metazoa; Arthropoda; Insecta; Blattodea; Blattellidae
Description: Bge-Novel-6-P2_pre stem-loop
Source: RNAcentral
CAGCUAAUCGUCCAUUUCAAUUGUGUUGUUUGAAAUCAAUGAAAUGGACGAUUGGCUGUG